UAAGGAAUAUUGGUCAAUGGACGCAAGUCUGAACCAGCCAUGCCGCGUGAAGGAUGAAGGUCCUCUGGAUUGUAAACUUCUUUUAUCUGGGACGAAAACGGGAUUUUUAUCUCAAUUGACGGUACCAGAGGAAUAAGCACCGGCUAACUCCGUGCCAGCAUCCGCGGUAAUACGGAGGGUGCGAGCGUUAUCCGGAUUUACUGGGUUUAAAGGGUGCGUAGGUGGGCUUAUAAGUCAGUGGUGAAAUCUCCGAGCUUAACUUGGAAACUGCCGUUGAUACUAUAGGUCGUGAAUUAUCUGGAGGUAAGCGGAAUAUGUCAUGUAGCGGUGAAAUGCUUAGAUAUGACAUAGAACACCAAUUGCAAAGGCAGCUUACUACAUAUAAAUUGACGCUGAGGCACGAAAGCGUGGGGAUCAAACA
This 421-nucleotide ribosomal RNA is filed under the name uncultured bacterium. RNAcentral's name for it is "bacterial SSU rRNA". It matches the Rfam family "Bacterial small subunit ribosomal RNA", at positions 355 to 774 of the family's 1533-position model. The record is from RNAcentral.